Molecule: ribosomal RNA, 226 nt
Filed under: Bacillus pumilus
Lineage: Bacteria; Bacillati; Bacillota; Bacilli; Caryophanales; Bacillaceae
Description: partial 16S ribosomal RNA
Rfam family: Bacterial small subunit ribosomal RNA
Source: RNAcentral
CCACACUGGGACUGAGACACGGCCCAGACUCCUACGGGAGGCAGCAGUAGGGAAUCUUCCGCAAUGGACGAAAGUCUGACGGAGCAACGCCGCGUGAGUGAUGAAGGUUUUCGGAUCGUAAAGCUCUGUUGUUAGGGAAGAACAAGUGCAAGAGUAACUGCUUGCACCUUGACGGUACCUAACCAGAAAGCCACGGCUAACUACGUGCCAGCAGCCGCGGUAAUAC